This 424-nucleotide ribosomal RNA is filed under the name uncultured bacterium. RNAcentral describes it as "partial 16S ribosomal RNA". It matches the Rfam family "Bacterial small subunit ribosomal RNA", at positions 355 to 776 of the family's 1533-position model. RNAcentral also lists the same sequence under 1 other name. The record is from RNAcentral.
UGAGGAAUAUUGGACAAUGGGCGCAAGCCUGAUCCAGCCAUGCCGCGUGCAGGAAGAAGCAUCUAUGGUGUGUAAACUGCUUUUGUACGGGAAGAAACACUCCUUCGUGAAGGAGCUUGACGGUACCGUAAGAAUAAGGAUCGGCUAACUCCGUGCCAGCAGCCGCGGUAAUACGGAGGAUCCAAGCGUUAUCCGGAAUCAUUGGGUUUAAAGGGUCCGUAGGCGGUUUGGUAAGUCAGUGGUGAAAGCCCGCAGCUCAACUGUGGAACGGCCAUUGAUACUGCCAGACUUGAAUUACAAGGAAGUAACUAGAAUAUGUAGUGUAGCGGUGAAAUGCUUAGAUAUUACAUGGAAUACCAAUUGCGAAGGCAGGUUACUACUUGUGGAUUGACGCUGAUGGACGAAAGCGUGGGGAGCGAACAGG